Molecule: ribosomal RNA, 392 nt
Filed under: uncultured bacterium
Lineage: Bacteria
Description: partial 16S ribosomal RNA
Rfam family: Bacterial small subunit ribosomal RNA
Source: RNAcentral
AUACGGAGGAUCCGCGCGUUAUCCGGAUUUAUUGGGUUUAAAGGGUGCGCAGGCGGCCAUUUAAGUCAGCGGUUAAAUCGUGGGGCUCAACCCCAUUCUGCCGUUGAUACUGGGUGGCUUGAUUGCGGUCGAGGUUGGCGGAAUUCGUUGUGUAGCGGUGAAAUGCAUAGAUAUGACGAAGGACACCGAUUGCGUAGGCAGAUGACCAGAGCGCAAAUGACGCUCAUGCACUGAAGUGCGGGGAUCGAACAGGAUUAGAUACCCGGGUAGUCCGCACAGUAAACGAUGAAUACUUGUUUUCGGCGAUAUAAUGUCGGAGGCAAAGCGAAAGCGAUAAGUAUUCCACCUGGGGAGUACGCCGGCAACGGUGAAACUCAAAUGAAUUGACGGGG